CCUACGGGAGGCAGCAGUGAGGAAUAUUGGUCAAUGGACGAGAGUCUGAACCAGCCAAGUAGCGUGAAGGAUGACUGCCCUAUGGGUUGUAAACUUCUUUUAUAUGGGAAUAAAAUGUUCCACGUGUGGGAUUUUGUAUGUACCAUAUGAAUAAGGAUCGGCUAACUCCGUGCCAGCAGCCGCGGUAAUACGGAGGAUCCGAGCGUUAUCCGGAUUUAUUGGGUUUAAAGGGAGCGUAGGUGGAUUGUUAAGUCAGUUGUGAAAGUUUGCGGCUCAACCGGAAAAUUGCAGUUGAAACUGGCAGUCUUGAGUACAGGAGAGGUGGGCGGAAUUCGUGGUGUAGCGGUGAAAUGCUUAGAUAUCACGAAGAACUCCGAUUGCGAAGGCAGUUCACUGGACUGCAACUGACACUGAGGCUCGAAAGUGUGGGUAUCAAACAGGAUUAGAUACCCGGGUAGUC
Molecule: ribosomal RNA, 460 nt
Filed under: uncultured bacterium
Lineage: Bacteria
Description: partial 16S ribosomal RNA
Rfam family: Bacterial small subunit ribosomal RNA
Source: RNAcentral